Small nuclear RNA from Nomascus leucogenys (northern white-cheeked gibbon), 64 nucleotides. Its record names the gene U7. It matches the Rfam family "U7 small nuclear RNA". Rfam says of the family: Animal histone pre-mRNAs are spliced by a different mechanism than nuclear pre-mRNAs and self-splicing introns. This processing involves the U7 snRNP, which contains only one RNA species: U7. Lineage: Eukaryota; Metazoa; Chordata; Mammalia; Primates; Hylobatidae. The record is from Ensembl.
CAGUGUUACAGAUCUUUUAGAAUUUGUCUAGUACGUUUUCCAGUUUUCACCAGAAUCUGCCUCC